Molecule: ribosomal RNA, 442 nt
Filed under: uncultured bacterium
Lineage: Bacteria
Description: partial 16S ribosomal RNA
Rfam family: Bacterial small subunit ribosomal RNA
Source: RNAcentral
CCUACGGGAGGCUGCAGUAGGGAAUCUUUCACAAUGGGCGAAAGCCUGAUGGAGCAACGCCGCGUGCAGGCUGAAGGCCUUCGGGUUGUAAACUGCUGUUAUAAGCGAGAAAUAUGAUGGUAACUUAUGAAUAAGGAUCUGCGAACUACGUGCCAGCAGCCGCGGUCAUACGUAGGAUCCGAGCAUUAUCCGGAGUGACUGGGUGUAAAGAGUUGCGUAGGUGGCAUAAUAAGUAGCUAGUGAAAUCUGGUGGCUCAACCAUUCAGACUAUUAGCUAAACUGUUAAGCUCGAGACCGUUAGGGGUAACUGGAAUUUCUAGUGUAGGAGUGAAAUCCGUAGAUAUUAGAAGGAACACCAAUAGCGUAGGCAGGUUGCUGGGACGGUUCUGACACUAAGGCACGAAAGCGUAGGGAGCAAACGGGAUUAGAUACCCUAGUAGUC